UGAAGGAGAAAAUGGUGACGAAAGCCAAAUGGUUUACCAAGGCCUAGCUAAAGAAGCAUCCCCAACAGGCCUAGCUAAGGAGGCAUUUCUAACUAGCCUUGUGUCCAAAAUCCUUCUUUUUAUUUUCCCCAGGAAAGAAGAAGGAUGGCUAUUCUGGCAGAUUCUUGCUGCAGGGUCUUGGAUCAGAGGCCUCAGGACCUUAACGCCGUUCAGAAUGGCAGUGAACAGCCCUAGAGUGAUCAUCCUUUCAAAGAAAUUCUUGUUUACCAUGAAGGUCCUGAGUGAGAGGAUGAAGUGAGGCUGUAAAUACCAGGAAAGGGAUGACAGGUGAUAUGAGAAGAUGGGCCACUCUAUAGCCUACUGGCUGACAUGAGCCUGAACACAGAUUUCCUAUUCCACAGUGGCAUUCAGCAUCACAUCUGUUGCUAGAGUUAAUGCACAACUAUGUUCAGCUCCUGCAGAUCUCAUUGUUGUUCUUAUUUUGUUGUUUUCUAUUAAUCUAAAAUAAAUGUCAUGGAGCCUGGCCGCUGCA
This 532-nucleotide long non-coding RNA is filed under the name Crocodylus porosus (Australian saltwater crocodile). RNAcentral describes it as "lncRNA (ENSCPRG00005005611.1)". Lineage: Eukaryota; Metazoa; Chordata; Crocodylia; Crocodylidae. The record is from RNAcentral.